Molecule: ribosomal RNA, 513 nt
Filed under: uncultured bacterium
Lineage: Bacteria
Description: bacterial SSU rRNA
Rfam family: Bacterial small subunit ribosomal RNA
Source: RNAcentral
UAGUCCACGCCGUAAACGAUGUCUACUAGCCGUUGGGAGACUUGAUUUCUUAGUGGCGCAGCUAACGCACUAAGUAGACCGCCUGGGGAGUACGGCCGCAAGGUUAAAACUCAAACGAAUUGACGGGGACCCGCACAAGCGGUGGAUGAUGUGGAUUAAUUCGAUGCAACGCGAAAAACCUUACCUACACUUGACAUGUCGAGAACUUUCCAGAGAUGGAUUGGUGCCCGAAAGGGAAUUCGAACACAGGUGCUGCAUGGCUGUCGUCAGCUCGUGUCGUGAGAUGUUGGGUUAAGUCCCGCAACGAGCGCAACCCUUAUCCUUAGUUGCUACGCAAGGGCACUCUAAGGAGACUGCCGGUGACAAACCGGAGGAAGGUGGGGAUGACGUCAAGUCCUCAUGGCCCUUAUGUGUAGGGCUUCACACGUCAUACAAUGGUCGGUACAGAGGGUUGCCAAGCCGCGAGGUGGAGCUAAUCCCAGAAAACCGAUCGUAGUCCGGAUUGCAGUCUGC